RNAcentral lists this ribosomal RNA (355 nucleotides) under uncultured bacterium. RNAcentral describes it as "bacterial SSU rRNA". It matches the Rfam family "Bacterial small subunit ribosomal RNA", at positions 8 to 349 of the family's 1533-position model. The record is from RNAcentral.
AGAGUUUGAUCCUGGCUCAGGAUGAACGCUGGCGGCGUGCCUAACACAUGCAAGUCGAGCGGGAAAUCCGUGACGGAUCCUUCGGGUGACGGAUCGGAUGGAGAGCGGCGGACGGGUGAGUAACGCGUAGGUAACCUGCCCUGUACAGAGGGAUAGCCACUGGAAACGGUGAUUAAUACCUCAUAAUGCCGGAUCUGCACAUGCAGGACCGGUCAAGUUUUUCGGACAGGAUGGACCUGCGUCUGAUUAGCUUGUUGGUGGGGUAACGGCUCACCAAGGCGACGAUCAGUAGCCGACCUGAGAGGGUNAUCGGCCACAUUGGAACUGAGACACGGUCCAAACUCAUACGGGAGCA